ACUUCUAACCAUCUUGGGCAAAACACUAACCCCAAGGGCGCAAUGAAAGUGACGAACGUCUCCGACGUUUCAAACCAAUAGGUGAAGAUCGGUCAUAACCCGGCCCGUACAAUAGAUGGGUAAGCCUUAAAAACUUCCCUCUAAUCGGGUUCGGGGUAACCACUGGUUGCCGCGCAUUACCACGGCGCUCCGGCACUGUGCCGGGGCGCACCCAGAGCGUACAGUUUGGUACCCGAAAGAUGGUGAUCUAUGCCUGGGCCGGACGAAGCCGGGGGAAACCCCGGUGGAGGUUUAGACCGAUUGCUGACGUGCAAUUCGAUCGUCCUAUUUGGGUAUAGGGGCGAAAGGACUAAUCGAACCAUCUAGUAGCUGGUUCCUUCCGAAGUUUCCCUCAGGAUAGCUGGCGCUUUGUCGCAGUUUUAUCUGGUAAAGCGAAUGAUUAGAGGCCUUGGGGACGGAAACGUCCUCAACCUAUUCUCAAACUUUAAAUUGGUAAGAAGCCCGGCUCGCUCGGUCUGGAGUCGGGCGUCUCGAAUGCGAGUGCCCAGUGGGCCACUCUUGGUAAGCAGGACUGGCGAUGCGGGAUGAACCGAACGCCGGGUUAAGGCGCCCGACGCGACGCUCAUCAGAGCCCACAAAAGGUGUUGGUUGAUCUAGACAGCAGGACGGUGGCCAUGGAAGUCGGAAUCCGCUAAGGAGUGUGUAACAACUCACCUGCCGAAUCAACCAGCCCUGAAAAUGGAUGGCGCUGGAGCGUCGGGCCUAUACCCGGCCGUCGCGACGACACGGGCCGUUCCACGGCGCUAAGUCGCGACGAGUAGGAAGGCCGCGGCGGCGGGCGUCGAAGCGUCGAGCGAGAGCUCGCGUGGAGCAGCCGUCGGUGCAGAUCUUGGUGGUAGUAGCAAAUAUUCAAAUGAGAGCUUUGAAGGUCGAAGAGGAGAAGGGUUCCAUGUGAACAGCAGUUGAACAUGGGUCAGUCGGCCCUAAGGAACAAGCGAACGCAGUUCGACGGGGGGCGUUGCUCGUCUUCGCCCCCGGUGUCCGAAAGGGAAUCUGGUUAAUAUUCCCGAGCCUCGACACGGAGAUUGGCGCUUCGGCGCCCGGUGCGGCAACGCAACCGAA
Molecule: ribosomal RNA, 1122 nt
Filed under: Pteraster militaris
Lineage: Eukaryota; Metazoa; Echinodermata; Asteroidea; Velatida; Pterasteridae
Description: eukaryotic LSU rRNA
Rfam family: Eukaryotic large subunit ribosomal RNA
Source: RNAcentral